This 433-nucleotide ribosomal RNA is filed under the name uncultured bacterium. RNAcentral describes it as "partial 16S ribosomal RNA". It matches the Rfam family "Bacterial small subunit ribosomal RNA", at positions 29 to 507 of the family's 1533-position model. The record is from RNAcentral.
AACGAACGCUGGCGGCAGGCCUAACACAUGCAAGUCGAGCGAGGACUUCGGUCCUAGCGGCGGACGGGUGAGUAACGCGCGGGAACGUGCCCUUUGCUUCGGAAUAGCCCUGGGAAACUGGGAGUAAUACUGGAUGAGCCCUUUGGGGGAAAGAUUUAUCGGCGAAGGAUCGGCCCGCGUUGGAUUAGGUAGUUGGUGGGGUAAUGGCCUACCAAGCCGACGAUCCAUAGCUGGUUUGAGAGGAUGAUCAGCCACACUGGGACUGAGACACGGCCCAGACUCCUACGGGAGGCAGCAGUGGGGAAUCUUAGACAAUGGGGGAAACCCUGAUCUAGCCAUGCCGCGUGAGCGAUGAAGGCCUUAGGGUUGUAAAGCUCUUUCAGCUGGGAAGAUAAUGACGGUACCAGCAGAAGAAGCCCCGGCUAACUCCGUG